This 712-nucleotide ribosomal RNA is filed under the name uncultured Antarctic soil bacterium. RNAcentral's name for it is "bacterial SSU rRNA". It matches the Rfam family "Bacterial small subunit ribosomal RNA", at positions 1 to 714 of the family's 1533-position model. The record is from RNAcentral.
GGGAGAGGGGUAGUUUUUCUUUGAGUUCCUCCUCUCUGCGGCUGCCUUAGCGCAUGCUCGUCGUGGGAGAAUUUUGGUGUUUGCACCAAAAGGAGACCGGCGAAUGGGUGAGUAACGCGUAGGCAAUCUGCCUGGGGAGACGGGGAUAACCCACCGAAAGGUGAGCUAAUACCGGAUGAUGCAGCGGGGUCGCAUGACCCUGUUGUUAAGGUUUCGGCCACUGGGAGAGGAGCCUGCUUGCCAUUAGCUAGUUGGUGCGGUAACGGCGCACCAAGGCGAUGAUGGCUAGGGGGUCUGAGAGGAUGAUCCCCCACACUGGGACUGAGACACGGCCCAGACUCCUACGGGAGGCAGCAGUGAGGAAUCUUGCGAAUGGGGGCAACCCUGACGCAGCCACGCCGCGUGCCGGAAGACGGCCCUAUGGGUUGUAACGGCUUUUAGGUGGGAAGAAUCUCCCGAAUUCGUUCGGGACUGACGGUACCGCCAGAAUAAGCACCGGCUAACUCCGUGCCAGCAGCCGCGGUAAUACGGAGGGUGCAAGCGUUGUCCGGAAUUAUUGGGUGUAAAGGGUGCGCAGGCGGAAGCCUACGUCGAGGGUGAAAGACGGCCGCUUAACGGUCGCAGUGCCUUCAUACGGGGUUUCUUGAGUCCGGAAGAGGUGGUGGAAUUCGUGGUGUACCGGUGAAAUCAUAAGAUACGAAGAACACCGGUG